UUUGGCACUAGCACAUUUUUGCUUGUGUCUCUCUGCUCUGAGCAAUCAUGUGCAGUGCCAAUAU
Molecule: non-coding RNA, 64 nt
Filed under: Cavia porcellus (domestic guinea pig)
Lineage: Eukaryota; Metazoa; Chordata; Mammalia; Rodentia; Caviidae
Also listed under: 1 other name
Description: microRNA cpo-mir-96 precursor
Gene: cpo-mir-96
Rfam family: mir-96 microRNA precursor family
Source: miRBase by way of RNAcentral